AUUGAACGCUGGCGGCAGGCCUAACACAUGCAAGUCGAAUGGUAACAGGAAACAGCUUGCUGUUUCGCUGACGAGUGGCGGACGGGUGAGUCAUGUCUGGGAAACUGCCUGCUGGAGGGGGAUAACUACUGGAAACGGUAGCUAAUACCGCAUAACGUCGCAAGCCCAAAGAGGGGGACCUUCGGGCCUCUUGCCAUCAGAUGUGCCCAGCUGGGCUUCGCUAGUAGGUGGGGUAACGGCUCACCUAGGCGACGAUCUCUAGCUGGUCUGAGAGGAUGACCAGCCACACGGGAACGGAGACACGGACCAGGCUCCUGCGAGAGGCAGCAGAGGGGAAUAGGGCACAGUAGGCGGGAGCCUGAUGCAGCGAGGCCGCGUGUAUGAAGAAAACCUUGGGGUUGUGAAGUACUUUCAGCGGGGGGGAAGGGAGUAAGGUUAAGACCAAGGCUCAGUGACGUUACCCGCAGAAGAAGCACCGGCUAACUACGUG
This 490-nucleotide ribosomal RNA is filed under the name uncultured bacterium. Its description in RNAcentral is "partial 16S ribosomal RNA". It matches the Rfam family "Bacterial small subunit ribosomal RNA", at positions 29 to 507 of the family's 1533-position model. The record is from RNAcentral.